GGACUACCAGGGUAUCUAAUCCCAUUCGCUCCCCACGCUUUCGUGUUUCAGCGUCAGGUAAAAUGCGCCAGUGAGCUGCCUUCGCUUUUGGUGUUCCCCUAGAUAUCAACGGAUUUCACCCCUACACCUAGAGUUCCGCUCACCUCUCGCAUCCUCAUAGCCAUGCCGUUUCCCCUGCGGACCCCCGGUUAAGCCGAAGAAUUUCACAGGAGACUAACAUAGCCGCCUACACACCCUUUACGCCCAGUGAUUCCGGAUAACGCUCGAGGCACUCGUAUUACCGCGGCGGCUGGCAC
This 296-nucleotide ribosomal RNA is filed under the name uncultured bacterium. RNAcentral's name for it is "partial 16S ribosomal RNA". The record is from RNAcentral.